CUCCUCUAUGCUGCUAUUCUGGGAAGUGGCGCUUGGAAUAACCCCCGUGUGCGUAAGAGUGUGUGUGUGCGUGUGUAUGUGUCUCCUGGUUUCACCCUGACACACGCACACAUACACGCUCACAACACAGUCAGACACACACAUUUACAGUCUGUCUGACUGCAGUAGUGGAGCUCCGGCAGCAGAAAUCCGGUCGGAAAGGAUUCCUUCCAUUUUUACGCGCAACUUUUCCUCCGUCGGCCGCCUCGCCGCAACGUUUCCACCGCUUCCCCUCGACUGUUUUGGAUUUCUAACAACCAUCUCCCGGCUGUUUCUAACGGGCAACCAGCGAGGAGUGCAAGCCCGCCCGGAAUCGGAUCUCCUGUCACCGGGGUUUGCUUGUUGUCAUUCUCGCACGGAGACGGAGACGCGCAGCCGGAGCGCAGGCAGAAGGGGCAGUUUGUGGACUUGAUAAACUGGACGAGAGGACAAACAGUUACACCAGGCCGUUAAAGGUUUCCAGUUGGUUUGCGGCGGGCAGAAAUGUCAGAGCUGUGGAUUCCAACUCCGGGCAGAGAGGCUGCUACAGUAUGUGGUGGCAGAUUGCUAUGCUGUAUGUGUUAUGUUUCUGUCUGUAGGGGUGCUGCUUUUUUAGGCAGCGUGUGCGUAUUGAAGUGAAGGAGGCUUGAGACUAAUGAUCCAGACAAGAAAGCUCUCCUACCUGUGAGGUUGACUUCGGGGAGGGAUGGGACUAAACUUUUCAA
Molecule: long non-coding RNA, 743 nt
Organism: Amphiprion ocellaris (clown anemonefish)
Lineage: Eukaryota; Metazoa; Chordata; Actinopteri; Pomacentridae
Source: Ensembl